RNAcentral lists this small nucleolar RNA (132 nucleotides) under Peromyscus maniculatus bairdii (prairie deer mouse). RNAcentral describes it as "Small nucleolar RNA SNORA70 (ENSPEMG00000003521.2)". It matches the Rfam family "Small nucleolar RNA SNORA70". From Rfam's summary of the family: snoRNA U70 seems to be exclusive to mammals and is a member of the H/ACA class of snoRNA which contain H (ANANNA) and ACA box motifs. Lineage: Eukaryota; Metazoa; Chordata; Mammalia; Rodentia; Cricetidae. The record is from Rfam by way of RNAcentral.
UUGCAGUUAAUUAAGCUGAUCAGGUUCCUUUCCCAGGGGGCCUGGUUUGCAAUGGUUAUAAACAACAGCUUCACUGUAGUGCAUUCAACCUGUUGCCUAUAUGGGUUGCCCUAAGAGACCUUGGAGACAAUU